This 64-nucleotide transfer RNA is filed under the name Tigriopus kingsejongensis. RNAcentral's name for it is "tRNA-Leu". The record is from RNAcentral. Lineage: Eukaryota; Metazoa; Arthropoda; Copepoda; Harpacticoida; Harpacticidae.
GCCCAGGUGGCAGAUUAGUGCUCCAGAUUUAGAAUUUGAAAAUAGGUCUUUGGCCUCCUGAGCA